CUUGGAACGGACGGGUGGAUGGAUGGAUGACUAUGUGUUGGAAUGCCAUGUGCUGUGAAGAUGACGAAGGAGAAAGUUUGUAGAAGUUUAAGUCGAUAGUCAGCUGGCUCCAACACAGGACAGUAUGGCAGAGUGGCAGCACAGAGGAGAAACAGUCCAUGGAAGGCAAAUACCCUGAGCCUAGGAAGAAACCACCAACUGCUAUGUGUCGGGCAGAUGUCUGGAUACAGAAGUCAACAAGCUGAGCAAGAUCCCUGGGCCUGGGAUUACAGUGGGGAAGACAGCAUCCUGCCUUUCCUUCCAUAAACUGCUUCUGCUGAAUUCCACAUGGCUCUGGAAGAACUAUCUCAGCACUCUGGCCCAGGAAUCCAUGGCUUCAAAAAGCUGAAGUCAGCUUCUCAGGAAUUUGAAUUGUAAAUGGAGUGCAAUACAGACAGAAGGUGGCUGAAGACAAAUGAGGUGGAUGGCAGCAUUCAAACAGAGAUGAUCUGCGAUUUGUGCAACCUUGGGCAAGUUGUGUAUGCUGUUAAUAUUCUCACCUGUUACAUGGGGACAGUGACAUCUACCCUCUCACAGGGCUGUUCAAGAUUUAAAUAAGGCAAUGUAUUAAAAGGGCCAA
Molecule: long non-coding RNA, 619 nt
Organism: Fukomys damarensis (Damara mole-rat)
Lineage: Eukaryota; Metazoa; Chordata; Mammalia; Rodentia; Bathyergidae
Exons: 4
Source: RefSeq, a predicted model, not a curated record